GUCGAGCGGUAAGGCCUUUCGGGGUACACGAGCGGCGAACGGGUGAGUAACGCGUGGGUGAUCUGCCCUGCACUCUGGGAUAAGCCCGGGAAACUGGGUCUAAUACCGGAUAUGACCGCAUGCUGCAUGGUGUGUGGUGGAAAGAUUUAUCGGUGCAGGAUGGGCCCGCGGCCUAUCAGCUUGUUGGUGGGGUAAUGGCCUACCAAGGCGACGACGGGUAGCCGACCUGAGAGGGUGACCGGCCACACUGGGACUGAGACACGGCCCAGACUCCUACGGGAGGCAGCAGUGGGGAAUAUUGCACAAUGGGCGGAAGCCUGAUGCAGCGACGCCGCGUGAGGGAUGAAGGCCUUCGGGUUGUAAACCUCUUUCAGCAGGGACGAAGCGUGAGUGACGGUACCUGCAGAAGAAGCACCGGCUAACUACGUGCCAGCAGCCGCGGUAAUACGUAGGGUGCGAGCGUUGUCCGGAAUUACUGGGCGUAAAGAGUUCGUAGGCGGUUUGUCGCGUCGUUUGUGAAAACCCGGGGCUCAACUUCGGGCUUGCAGGCGAUACGGGCAGACUUGAGUGUUUCAGGGGAGACUGGAAUUCCUGGUGUAGCGGUGAAAUGCGCAGAUAUCAGGAGGAACACCGGUGGCGAAGGCGGGUCUCUGGGAAACAACUGACGCUGAGGAACGAAAGCGUGGGUAGCAAACAGGAUUAGAUACCCUGGUAGUCCACGCCGUAAACGGUGGGCGCUAGGUGU
Molecule: ribosomal RNA, 745 nt
Filed under: uncultured bacterium
Lineage: Bacteria
Description: bacterial SSU rRNA
Rfam family: Bacterial small subunit ribosomal RNA
Source: RNAcentral